This is a long non-coding RNA of Nycticebus coucang (slow loris), 327 nucleotides long. RefSeq lists it as uncharacterized. The record is from RefSeq and is a predicted model, not a curated record. NCBI's taxonomy places the organism in Eukaryota, Metazoa, Chordata, Mammalia, Primates, Lorisidae. The transcript has 3 exons.
GUUCUCAUCACCUACAUACUCCUUUCUCCGCCGAUCUCUUCUCCCCCCACCCACUUUGCUCCGGGCCUGGUCGACAGAGCUGAAGGGGCGGGGGCUCCUUCCCCGGAGUGUUUCUAGAGCUCGGAGGCUGCUCGUAGGGGGGCACCACUUUCAGAUAAAAACAUAGACCUGAAUGGCAUCAUCCAGUAUCCAAGGAAACCGUAUCAGCUAGGAAGUGACUGCUUCCAGCAGACUGGAGGUUCCCUUAAGGAGGUGAGGAAGAUUGCUUCAGAGAACGCCAAAUUCAAGAAACACGAGUCCCUCUACUUGCCCCCUCAGGCUAUGUUC